This 45-nucleotide non-coding RNA is filed under the name Trichobilharzia regenti. Lineage: Eukaryota; Metazoa; Platyhelminthes; Trematoda; Strigeidida; Schistosomatidae. The record is from RNAcentral.
AUCCGGAUGAUAAGUCCAAAAUAGGACGAAAUGCACAUCCUGAAU